GUACUUGCUUCCGCAGCACAUAUACUACAGUUGGAAUGAUGCAGAGAAGAUGAGCAUGGUCCUUGAGCAAGGAUGACAUGCAAAUUCAUAAAGCAUUCCAUAGGUUA
Molossus molossus (Pallas's mastiff bat) is the source of this 107-nucleotide small nuclear RNA. Lineage: Eukaryota; Metazoa; Chordata; Mammalia; Chiroptera; Molossidae. The record is from RefSeq and is a predicted model, not a curated record.